This 526-nucleotide ribosomal RNA is filed under the name uncultured Clostridium sp. Its description in RNAcentral is "bacterial SSU rRNA". It matches the Rfam family "Bacterial small subunit ribosomal RNA", at positions 8 to 551 of the family's 1533-position model. Lineage: Bacteria; Bacillati; Bacillota; Clostridia; Eubacteriales; Clostridiaceae. The record is from RNAcentral.
AGAGUUUGAUCCUGGCUCAGGACGAACGCUGGCGGCGUGCUUAACACAUGCAAGUCGGGCGAUGAAGCUCCUUCGGGAGUGGAUUAGCGGCGGACGGGUGAGUAACACGUGGGUAACCUGCCUCAUAGAGGGGAAUAGCCUUUCGAAAGGAAGAUUAAUACCGCAUAAGAUUGUAGUACCGCAUGGUACAGCAAUUAAAGGAGUAAUCCGCUAUGAGAUGGACCCGCGUCGCAUUAGCUAGUUGGUGAGGUAACGGCUCACCAAGGCGACGAUCAGUAGCCGACCUGAGAGGGUGACCGGCCACAUUGGGACUGAGACACGACCCAGACUCCUACGGGAGGCAGCAGUGGGGAAUAUUGCACAAUGGGGGAAACCCUGAUGCAGCAACGCCGCGUGAGUGAUGACGGUCUUCGGAUUGUAAAGCUCUGUCUUUAGGGACGAUAAUGACGGUACCUAAGGAGGAAGCCACGGCUAACUACGUGCCAGCAGCCGCGGUAAUACGUAGGUGGCAAGCGUUGUCCGGAUU